GAUGAACGCUAGCGGCAGGCUUAACACAUGCAAGUCGAACGGUAACAGGAAGAGCUUGCUCUUCGCUGACGAGUGGCGCACGGGUGCGUAACGCGUAUGCAACCUACCUCUAACUAAGGAAUAGCCCGAAGAAAUUCGGAUUAAUACUUUAUAGUAUUGCAGUUUGGCAUCAUUCUGUAAUUAAAGCUUCGGCGGUUAGAGAUGGGCAUGCGUCCCAUUAGUCUGUUGGUGAGGUAACGGCUCACCAAAACUACGAUGGGUAGGGGGCCUGAGAGGGUAAUCCCCCACACUGGUACUGGGACACGGACCAG
Molecule: ribosomal RNA, 311 nt
Filed under: uncultured bacterium
Lineage: Bacteria
Description: bacterial SSU rRNA
Rfam family: Bacterial small subunit ribosomal RNA
Source: RNAcentral